UAGAGUCUAAGGAAAGUAUGUGUGGCUGUAGUUCACGCUAGGUAUCCAUAGGAGAUGUGGCGAAUCCACAAGAAUAUGGAAGCACCCAUAGGAGAUGUGGCGAAUCCACAAGAAUAUGGGGUAGAAGCCUAGUGGGAGCUACCCACUAUAAUAAGAAACGAAGUGCCAACCGCGAGAGGCGGGAUAUAAAAACGUGCAUUGUAGAGUUCUUAGUUCAUGGUAGGGUAACGGGGUGUUAAAGGUGUCAUAGGAUCGAGUCGGUCUGGUAAGAUGAGUCGGUUAAGUCUAGGGUUUAACGUGUGUGGCAAUAAGUGAGAUCAUUGUAUUAAUUGAUCACUAGGUUGCUAGAAAUGUAUGGAAUUGAAUGUGGAAAUUAUUGAUGACGAUAUGAAAUGAUAAAAUACAUUACCUGAUUGUAGUGGCUAGUCAGUCCUAGUUCCCGCAUAGAGUAGUAUAGAGUGUCAUGCGGGCAAGCUGGUCUAGAGCCACUUCACUGAGUAAUUUGUUGCUCACUCCUCCAUUUCCAUUUCCCUGUGCGCAGGAUUGUAAGUAGAAGUAUAUGUAUGUGGGUGUGACGGUAUUUCAAAGAAGGUUAUGCGCCUGUCGACUCUCGGGACCAGUAACGGGACACGUAGGGUUGUCUAAAUGAGUAGACACGUGUCCAUAACGCCCAUUCGAUAACCCCGGUCGGACGCCGGGGGAUCGGGCCGUUACAAUUGGUAUCAGAGCGGGUUAAGAUCCCUUAGUUCUGUCCUAAGGGAUCAGCAUUUCCGAUGUUUUCAAAAAAAAAAAAAAAAAAAAUUAUUGGGAAUAUUAGUAAGUAUUUUCGGAUUGUGAAAAGAUUAUUUGAAAAUCCCACUAUAUCCAUACUUCUAUUAUGGUUCUGAUUGAAAUUUUAUUGCAGGAUGUUUCCGCUUCACCAUUAUGAGUGGAGGAUGCCACGUAUGCACUAUGGACGGAGGAACACCAGGGACUAUGCCCGUAGGCGUCACCGUGACAUGGAGGGUAACUUGGUGCUACACAUGUUCCCGGAUCCUGAAGAGCAGUACAGGGAGUUUCCAUUCAGGUACCCGCACGAGCAGACUGUGAGGCGUAAAGUGUUGAUGCCAAAUUUCCAGAGGAUGGCUAUGGAGGAACGCAUACUACAGGGCAAUGCGAGGUUCCAGCUUGCAACCGAAGAGGGACCCCCGAGGAAGCGUAACCGUCCAUGCAAGCCGCCAAGUGCAGCGGGGGGACCCCCAAGGGUGUUCACCGGGAAGUGCCAGUGUGGAGUGCUGAUCAAGAAUGCUCAGGAGGACCGAUCAGUCGCUGGAUACACCGAGGACUUCAUCAACCAAGCCAAGCUGGGCAAGCCAAAGAAUGCAGAGACAUGGUGCGUAUGGUAUAAGAACGGGCUUCGCAAGGAAAUCCAGGCGCAGUUGAGGGGUGUUUUGGAGCCCUUGGAGUUCGCGCUAGUGAGGCGGAUGGCAGGUUUCGCCAUGGAGGCAGAGGAGCAGAUUGCAGCCAAUGUGGCCGCUCUCUCGAGCAUGGAAUGAGGGAACCCGGGUAGGGACGCCGAAGGCGAGGAGGUGCCGGUCGGGGAACUCGCUAAGGGAAAGCGGGGACGUCCGCGGAAACCUCCUACAGUGACAUGUGAUUGUGAUGUACUGGUCCAGAUGGUUCAGAAGCCACGCAAGGUGAGAGAUUACCUGGAGGAGUUCUUGGAUACGGCCAAGAGGUGCCAACCGAAGCCAGCAGAGGAGUGGUGUCAUAUGUUUAGGGCUGGGCUACGUGGAGAUAUUCUUGAAGAGCUCGUGGGGGUUCUGGAGCCUCUGGAAUUUGCACUGGUGAGAAGAAUGGCCAACCAAGCACUGCACGCAGAGGAGUGGUUGGCGGAAGGCGCGGCGGAGGCCGAGUAUGAUCGCGUCGCGGAGGGCGAUGAAGACCUUGGAUCCGAGACCCACUGUGCCUCGCCAUGUCAAUGUGGCUAGCCGAGAUCCUAGGGACUACUAGUAGGAGUAGGACACGUGUUUUGCUAUUGGUUUUAUUUCAUUUAUUGGUUAUUGGAGUAGGUGUUCUUUCCAUUCUUUACGGCAUUCUGUAUUUUGUGCAGACGCGCCGAGUUUUCUUUUUUUUUUCAAACUAUUGUGGUCCUACUCCUUUUAUUUAUGACAUUCAUUCGUUGGUUUUAAAGAUUCCAGUAGAGUUAUCAUGCCUUGUAUGCGUCCCUUGAUUGUUGUGUGAAUGUGUGAGUCCAUUUCGGUAACGAACGAUUAGUCCGAAAGAUAUGGGCCUUGGAAUUCGGGGAAAAAUUCCGAUUAACGGGGGAGGAUUGUAACGGCCCGGUUGCUGUCCCAUAAAUUUCCCUGAGAAUAUGGGCUUCUCUACGGCCCAUUUGGCAAAGACCUAGGGUUUCCCUUUUCCUUUCCUAUAAAAAGAGAUGCAGCCUCCCUUUUGCCUCAUUCAGAAACUAAAGCGAAGCUCUUCAGAGAAUUCCCGGAGACCAGAAACCCUAGCCGUCGAGCUCUCUCCCUUUCUCUCUUGCGCCGUCUCUCUCUCUUCUCUCUCUCUCCCUCGCAUCGCUCUCUCUCUCCUCGCCAUUGCUCUCUCUCUGCUCGCCGUCACUCUCUCUCUCCUCACCAUCGCACGCUCUCUCUCUCCUCGCCGGCGCCAUGUGGUGGUGGUGGUGACCAGAUCUCAACCUUCUCUCAUCCUUGUUUCCAGAUCCAGAUCCAUAUCUAGGCUAAGGUGGAGUGUCUUGAACCCAUCUUGUUCUCAUGUACUGUAUACUCCUUUAUGUUGGAGUUAGGUUUGAUUAGACCCUGUUUGAAAGCUAGGUUGAUAGAACAUGAUUAUUGCUAGGAUGUUAGAUGAAUGGAACACAAUGCAAAAGAACCCUCAUAUUGUUAAAUGGGACUUAAUAAACUGAAAUGGAGGUGUGGUAGUGAUGAUUGAUUGGUGAUUUAUGCUUGUAUGUUUGGAUGUGUAGUCCCAUGAGUGGUUUGUGAUUAAAGCUAGGAUGCUAGAGAGAAAUGAAUGCUAAGCUGAUAGAUGAGUAAUGAUUGUUAAUGUUAUUGAAGUAGAACUUGAGUGCGAUGUGUAUUGUGUGUGACACCGAUAACGGGUGGCUUCUAGUGAAUGAGUCCAAGUACAAGUCUAAAUGAAAAGGAAAGUGAAUGAGAAUGGGAAGGGAUAAGUGAAAAUGAUAAGGAUGUGAAAGGAUAAAUGAAAGUAUAAAAGAAUAAUGUUAAGGUUAAGCAUGGGUGGGGAAAGCAUAUAGAGUCUACGGAAAGUAUGUGUGGCUGUAGUUCACGCUAGGUAUCCAUAGGAGAUGUGGCGAAUCCACAAGAAUAUGUAAGCACCCAUAGGAGAUGUGGCGAAUCCACAAGAAUAUGGGGUAGAAGCCUAGUGGGAGCUACCCACUAUGAUAAGAAACGAAGUGCCAACCGCGAGAGGCGGGAUAUAAAAACGUGCAUUGUAGAGUUCUUAGUUCAUGGUCGGGUAACGGGGUGUUAAAGGUGUCAUAGGAUCGAGUCGGUCUGGUAAGAUGAGUCGGUUAAGUCUAGGGUUUAACGUGUGUGGCAAUGAGUGAGAUCAUUGUAUUGAUUGAUCACUAGGUUGCUAGAAAUGUAUGGAAUUGAAUGUGGAAAUUAUUGAUGACGAUAUGAAAUGAUAAAAUACAUUACCUGAUUGUAGUGGCUAGUCAGUCCUAGUUCCCGCAUAGAGUAGUAUAGAGUGUCAUGCG
Molecule: long non-coding RNA, 3724 nt
Filed under: Brassica rapa (field mustard)
Lineage: Eukaryota; Viridiplantae; Streptophyta; Magnoliopsida; Brassicales; Brassicaceae
Description: long non-coding RNA (BRAP_LNC006853)
Source: RNAcentral